ACCCGUACCCAUCCCGAACACGGAAGUUAAGCUCACCAGCGUACUGGAUGGUACUGGAGUGAGAGAUCCUCUGGGACGUGCAGUUCGCCGCCUCGU
Molecule: ribosomal RNA, 96 nt
Organism: Halorubrum vacuolatum
Lineage: Archaea; Methanobacteriati; Methanobacteriota; Halobacteria; Halobacteriales; Haloferacaceae
Source: Rfam